RNAcentral lists this ribosomal RNA (465 nucleotides) under Vreelandella stevensii. RNAcentral describes it as "partial 16S ribosomal RNA". It matches the Rfam family "Bacterial small subunit ribosomal RNA", at positions 338 to 795 of the family's 1533-position model. Lineage: Bacteria; Pseudomonadati; Pseudomonadota; Gammaproteobacteria; Oceanospirillales; Halomonadaceae. The record is from RNAcentral.
CCUACGGGUGGCAGCAGUGGGGAAUAUUGGACAAUGGGGGGAACCCUGAUCCAGCCAUGCCGCGUGUGUGAAGAAGGCCCUCGGGUUGUAAAGCACUUUCAGUGAGGAAGAACGCCUGGUGGUUAAUACCCAUCAGGAAAGACAUCACUCACAGAAGAAGCACCGGCUAACUCCGUGCCAGCAGCCGCGGUAAUACGGAGGGUGCGAGCGUUAAUCGGAAUUACUGGGCGUAAAGCGCGCGUAGGUGGCUUGAUAAGCCGGUUGUGAAAGCCCCGGGCUCAACCUGGGAACGGCAUCCGGAACUGUCAAGCUAGAGUGCAGGAGAGGAAGGUAGAAUUCCCGGUGUAGCGGUGAAAUGCGUAGAGAUCGGGAGGAAUACCAGUGGCGAAGGCGGCCUUCUGGACUGACACUGACACUGAGGUGUGAAAGCGUGGGUAGCAAACAGGAUUAGAUACCCUGGUAGUC